GAUGAACGCUGGCGGCGUGCUUAACACAUGCAAGUCGAGCGAAGCACUUUACUUGGAUUUCUUCGGAAUGACGAGUAUUGUGACUGAACGGCGGGCGGGUGAGUAACGCGUGGGUAACCUGCCUCAUACAGGGGGAUAACAGUUAGAAAUGACUGCUAAUACCGCAUAAGACCACAGCACCGCAUGGUGCAGGGGUAAAAACUCCGGUGGUAUGAGAUGGACCCGCGUCUGAUUAGCUGGUUGGUGGGGUAACGGCCUACCAAGGCAACGAUCAGUAGCCGACCUGAGAGGGCGACCGGCCACAUUGGGACUGAGACACGGCCCAAACUCCUACGGGAGGCAGCAGUGGGGAAUAUUGCACAAUGGGGGAAACCCUGAUGCAGCGACGCCGCGUGAAGGAAGAAGUAUUUCGGUAUGUAAACUUCUAUCAGCAGGGAAGAAAAUGACGGUACCUGACUAAGAAGCCCCGGCUAACUACGUGCCAGCCGCCGCCGUAA
RNAcentral lists this ribosomal RNA (497 nucleotides) under uncultured bacterium. RNAcentral describes it as "partial 16S ribosomal RNA". It matches the Rfam family "Bacterial small subunit ribosomal RNA", at positions 28 to 523 of the family's 1533-position model. The record is from RNAcentral.